UACAGAGGUGGCAAGCGUUGUUCGGAAUUACUGGGCGUAAAGGGCGCGUAGGUGGCUUGCUGAGUCAGACGUGAAAUCCCCAGGCUUAACCUGGGAACUGCGUCUGAUACUGGAAGGCUCGAGUUCGGGAGAGGAAUGUGGAAUUCCAGGUGUAGCGGUGAAAUGCGUAGAUAUCUGGAGGAACACCGGUGGCGAAGGCGGCAUUCUGGACCGAAACUGACGCUGAGGCGCGAAAGCCAGGGGAGCAAACGGG
RNAcentral lists this ribosomal RNA (253 nucleotides) under uncultured bacterium. Its description in RNAcentral is "partial 16S ribosomal RNA". It matches the Rfam family "Bacterial small subunit ribosomal RNA", at positions 524 to 776 of the family's 1533-position model. The record is from RNAcentral.